GCCUACGGGGGGCAGCAGUGAGGAAUAUUGGUCAAUGGCCGCAGGGCUGAACCAGCCAAGUCGCGUGAGGGAUGACGGUCCUAUGGAUUGUAAACCUCUUUUGUCAGGGAGCAAAGGGCGCCACGUGUGGCGCUUUGCGAGUACCUGAAGAAAAAGCAUCGGCUAACUCCGUGCCAGCAGCCGCGGUAAUACGGAGGAUGCGAGCGUUAUCCGGAUUUACUGGGUGUAAAGGGAGCGUAGACGGCAGCGCAAGUCUGGAGUGAAAUGCCGGGGCCCAACCCCGGAACUGCUUUGGAAACUGUGCG
Molecule: ribosomal RNA, 305 nt
Filed under: uncultured bacterium
Lineage: Bacteria
Description: bacterial SSU rRNA
Rfam family: Bacterial small subunit ribosomal RNA
Source: RNAcentral